CUUGAUUAAACCAUAAGAGGUCUAGCCUGCCCAGUGACAUUGUUUAACGGCCGCGGUAUCCUAACCGUGCGAAGGUAGCGUAAUCACUUGUCCUUUAAAUGAGGACUAGUAUGAAUGGCCCCACGAAAGCUAUACUGUCUCCUUUUUCUAAUCAGUUAAACUAAUCUUCCCGUGAAGAAGCGGGAAUAAAUAUAUAAGACGAGAAGACCCUAUGGAGCUUUAAACAACUGAAACACUUGUAUUUCUCAUUAUAUUCCAGAAACCUACACUUAAUCCCACAUUUUGUUUCUAGUUUUAGGUUGGGGUGACCACGGAGAAAAAAUUAACCUCCACGCUGAAAGAGCCUAACCUCUAAACAAAAAGCUACACCUUUAAGUAUUAACACAUUAACAUAAAUUGACCCA
RNAcentral lists this ribosomal RNA (404 nucleotides) under Anomaloglossus megacephalus. RNAcentral describes it as "LSU rRNA". It matches the Rfam family "Bacterial large subunit ribosomal RNA", at positions 1824 to 2422 of the family's 2925-position model. RNAcentral also lists the same sequence under 1 other name. Lineage: Eukaryota; Metazoa; Chordata; Amphibia; Anura; Aromobatidae. The record is from RNAcentral.